AGCAGACUGCAGAGAACGGAGUGCAGGAAGAUUCCCAAAGAGAGCCUCGGGAUGAACGCCUACGGAGAAGGUGGCAGUGGGAUCAGGCAGAUGGAGAGGCUGGCUGCGAUGCAGUCACAACCAGGCCUCCACUGAGCCCACGAGGAACCCUGAAACUGGGAUGGCCCUUCAGAGUUAUCCCCAGCUGGAGCAUGGACCAGGCCUUUACAUCUUCCCCUUCGAUCAGACAGGAGGUCCCAUGUGGAUUCUGGAAUCAGAAAAGCCUGCUUCCUGAGUUUGAAUCCAGUCUUCAUCCUUCAACUGUGGGACCCUGGACAAGAACCAACAUCUUCCAGCAGAGACCACCAAGAACACACUUGUGGUUGAAUAAGCCAGGUUUAUUAAUUACUGCAGUGAGAGAGAAUACACACCAGGGUGUCUUAGUAAGAGGGAGUUAGACAAAACCUAUGAUAGAAUUGGGGUUGGUAUGAGAGAUUUGGG
This 480-nucleotide long non-coding RNA is filed under the name Homo sapiens (human). RNAcentral describes it as "non-protein coding lnc-HS1BP3-3:1". Lineage: Eukaryota; Metazoa; Chordata; Mammalia; Primates; Hominidae. The record is from RNAcentral.